ACGUGCACCAAAGGUCGGUGGUUUUAGUAAUUUUCUCUCAUUUUACAACCCCAAAGCGUAGCCCCUUCCAAACGCCGCUGACACAUGCCCUCGCGAGCUCACCUUGGCCCUUGCCACCACUGCUGCGAGGCGGCCUGCGACCGCCUACCUCCUGCUCUCCCCUUCAUCUCCCAAGCUCCUCACCGCCGGUGCCGCGGCCGGAAGUUCCUCGUCGUCGUGGAGCUGAAUGAUUGCCCGCUGCGCGCGGUGGAUCGGGAUCACGCGAGGUCUUCUGACUGCAAGGUCGUGCGCUUGUACGUGCUGCAAAACCAGGGGCUACAUUGACAUCCAUGCUGCAAUGCCCACGGUCCACCCAACCUUUCACUAUCUUCCAGCCGAUGGUGGUUCAUUUAGCCUUAGUCCAUGCAGCCAAGGUGUUCGACGAAAUUACCAAAUGAGUAGAAGUUCCUUUUCUAAAUCCUUUCAUGGUCUGCUACAUGUUGGUUAAUAAGGGAAACCUGGUUUGCGUAUGUAUGAUGCUCGUUUGUGUACUCUAAGCUAUGCCCGUGGCUCCAACAUUGGCAUUAGCCAUUAGGCAUGAGUACUUACUAGUUACAACUAAUCAAUUUGGUUUUGUGUUUUGACUGUUUUUUCUUGCUUUCAGCUCGGGCCAAGAGGCACUAGUUCAAGAAGCUGCGUACUCACUCAGAAGGAUCACCACCAUCAAGAAGAUCAUAUAGGCAGCUGAUUAUGUCAAGAAGCAGAUCCAGCCAACACAGGGUGAAGAGAAGAUUGUGGAGAUGUGGUAGAUGGAUAGCAGUUCUGGAUGCGUGAGUGAGCCUGGAACACAAGUAGAGAUGAUGGCGCUGAUCGAGUGCCAAACAAGGCCUAAGGGGGUCAUCAUUCACUAGAAUGCCUGAGAAACAGAAUUGCUGAGGAAUUGGCACGGUUUGAUAGACGACAUGGGAGUAAUACAAGGAAAGGAAUCCCUUGAUCCUAGCCGAGUAUCUUGGAACAGAGCAUUUAGCCUAGCGUUUCUUUUUCUGGUGACCAAUGCUUGCCAACAUAUUUACCCUUUGGAUGGCCGGCGAGGUGUAUCUCUGAGCCAUCUCUCUGCUGCAAGAGUCAUUACGGAGCAAAUGGUGUCAUGGAAAAUUACAAAACGUAAAUUGUCUUGAAAUUCAGAUUUGGAUUUGGACAAUAAUGUAGAGGGGAAAUGAUAAUUAAACGUCCUACUCCUAGUAAAACUAACCCCUCUUAUCUUUACUCAUGGGGCUUAUGUGUAAAUUUCUAUUGCCGUCCACUUCUUUUGUGUAAAAGUGGAUUGGUUGUUUGCCAUAGAGAUUAUAGAAGCUAUCCUGCAAAUAUUUUUUUUCCAAAAAUUGUCAUGAUCAUUUGCAUCAUGUCCA
This is a long non-coding RNA of Brachypodium distachyon (stiff brome), 1388 nucleotides long. RefSeq lists it as uncharacterized. Lineage: Eukaryota; Viridiplantae; Streptophyta; Magnoliopsida; Poales; Poaceae. The transcript is spliced from 3 exons. The record is from RefSeq and is a predicted model, not a curated record.